GCACCUUAGAGACCAACUAAGUUUGUUCUUGGUAUGAGCUUUCGUGUGCAUGAAAGCUCAUACCAAGAACAAACUUAGUUGGUCUCUAAGGUGC
RNAcentral lists this microRNA precursor (94 nucleotides) under Podarcis lilfordi (Lilford's wall lizard). The record is from RNAcentral. Lineage: Eukaryota; Metazoa; Chordata; Lepidosauria; Squamata; Lacertidae.